UCACAAAGGGCUAAUCUCGGGCCUUGUCGAAGGAAGAGGCUGCAGACGUUAAUGAGGUUAGCUGCUGGAUUCCAGUAUUCGUCGCAUAAGGAUCCUUCUUUGUCUGCGAAGGAAAAACACACUGAUUAUCAUAAUGAGUUCCUGACCUGGCCAUCCCGGGGUGCCCUUGACCAGCCCCGUGUCUCCUCAGGGUGUCCCAGCACCAGCCUGGCACAGAGUGGGGCUCAGUUAGAGUAUGUGGGAUGUUGGUUUCGCCAGGUGAGUGAAUGAAAGGACUCGACCACCACAGCUGAGCCACUAGCUGGGCCAUGCGAAGAGUUCUAGGUGCAAAGGCUGGAGGGUGGAAUUCAUUUUUGAGAGGUGUGUGAGCAGCUUCCGACCCCUGCCCCAUUUGAACGGGGGCCUUGCUGGUCGCGUCCCUGCAUUCACCCGCGCGGCCAUCCCGUCAUCCAACAGUUGAUCCUAACUGAGCACGCCCACGGCCCUGGUCUGGCCUGGGCACCGGCCACCGUAGCCCAUCCCUUGAUGGCCUCUGUGUCCCCAGGAGGGCGGGCCGGGGGGUUGCCCAGGGGCUGGAGCAGUGGACUGUGGCUCCAUAGAGGUAGGCCGGAGGGUGUGAGGGCAGAUUCAAGCUAUCCCCAGGGCUCUGCUCUGGUCGGAGCCAGCCCCUUCUCCCUCUCUGCCUUCCCCGCCCCAUUCCUGAUGCUGAACUGUUCUGGACCCCUGGCCCUGAGUCUCUCAGGACCAAAGUGGGCACGGGAACAGCUGUAGUGUGUGCCCCCCCGGGCUUUGGCCACAGGUCUCCCUCUCGAGGUGUGGUUGUGACUGCGACCCUUCCCUUGCCGUGAUGCCUUCCUCCCCCGGGGCUUGGUCCAGCUCCUUCACUCUCUAGCAGCUGCUGGGGCCCACCUCCCAUGCCGAGGACCAGCAGGGGAAACCUCCAGGGAGCAUCUGCAGGCUCUGCUUCUGCCCGGCUGCUGGCUUGCUCUCCCUGGUGGCUCUCCAGCGGCCAGCUUCCUCACCCACCCGGCACUCCGCUUUGCUCUGUCUCCUGAGGUUCCCAGUGCCCCCGACAAGCCCCUGCUGGUGUCUCCAUCUCCUGCCAAGCAUCCUCCAGUGCCUCCUCCUGUGGGCCUGGCCUCAGGGCUAUGGACAGACUCCUGUCCCAUCCCAGAGACCCCUCGUGAUCGUGCCCUGGCACGUGGGCCGUGGCCCGGCUGGGUCGGCUGAAGAACUGCGGAUGGAAGCUGCGGAAGAGGCCCUGAUGGGGCCCACCAUCCCGG
RNAcentral lists this long non-coding RNA (1283 nucleotides) under Homo sapiens (human). Its description in RNAcentral is "maternally expressed 3". Lineage: Eukaryota; Metazoa; Chordata; Mammalia; Primates; Hominidae. The record is from RNAcentral.